UUCUGCCCUCCGAAUUCAUAUUCGUUUUAUAAAUAGGACCUUUAAAUUUUGUCUGGCUUGCCGUUCCAAAUAAAAUUGAAUAUUUUUUGUUCAUAUAAUUUAAAAAGCAGGUCAUUAGGUGUAGGAAAAACCAUAACCAAAUAGGUAAACUGUGAUGUGACUAAUCAAAAUUAUGUCAUGCCCCCCUUGUGCCAAGUUCCAUGUGUAAAUAGCCCCUCCGCUUCCCUUCAUUGAAUGGGGCGCAGUUGUUUCAUAAUUCCCAAUGCGUUGAAAAGAAAGCAGACUGAAAAGCCCUGUAAGGAUUGACCAUGACUCCACAGCCAAAGUUCUAUGGUUUUCAUUCUUUGCCGAAGGACCGGAGAAUCUGGAAUGGCUUGUAGGAGUUCGUCGGUCCCAAUGUUUGCACCAGUAAGGCUAGCUUGGUGUGCAACGACCGGGGGUGCCCCUCCCAGUCAACACCACCUCAUAAUAUGAGGAAGUGCAUUGUUUAUAAGGAUUGCCUGCUGCAGUUGUUUGGGAGAUAUUCAGUUUGCAGCUGAACAUGCAACAAGGGGACCCUCAGCAUCACGCAGACAUGCCCUCACUUUGAGCAUUGCUAUAAAUGGAACAGGAAGGACACUUGAAUCAGGUUGGUGAUGUUUGACCUGGUCAUAGUUUGUCCCAAUUCACCUUCUGAUCGCUAUGUUUACCAUUCUCACUUCACAUAUCAUGAGAACGGAAGUGAAAUAGAAAGGUGAAUGCAGCAAUCGGGUUGGUUCCACCAUGUUAAUAAUAACCACCAUUGAUAACGUAAGCAGUGCACUGUGUGUGUGUGUUUGUGUGUGACAAACCAGUAUCUUUGAUGAGGGGCCAGGAGCUACUCUGCCAUGCCCAUCAAGGGGGCACUGGCAAAGUCCUUACCUCCAGCCUCACCUCCUGCCUGCUCACCAACGGUCGUUGAUGGGGAGACCAGAAUUGAAUACAUCUAUGGAGACAGAUCUUCAAGACUUGCAAGAUGAUGUGAUGAAGUUCAGACCGACAGACUGGCUUGAUAUUGAUGUCUCUGGAUGGAGAGAGACCUGGCAUGCAACACAUCCACAAUAUGGGACUGAAGGGGAUUACUAAAAAUACAGUACAGCAGAAAUGUCCAGCAUUUGCAACACCCUUUUCGUUAUAUGUGUCACUAAUGAACUUUUCCUCAACUCUGCCUAUUUCUACAGAUGGAGAGAACUACAGAUGCUUUUGCCAAAUGCCAGACCUGUUCAAACAUCAACAUAGUACCUGUUUGUGUGUCAGAUAUUACCCAUCCUAACUGCCAUUGGUAAUAGAACAGUGACUAUGUGUUCUCAGAAAAAUAAAAAGAGCCAGCACAGAGACUUGCAAGAUGAUGUCCAGACUGACAGACAGGCUUUAUACUGAUGUCACUGAAUUGAGAGAGACCUGGUACUCGGCAUUAACAUUUUACUAGACACAACUUUUACUUGAAUUGUAUUUUUUUUAAGUUAUUGAAUUGAAUGGUGUCUGUCAAUAUGGGGAGGGAGAAACCCUGUGUAUUCUGCACCAUGAUCAGGGAACUGUUGUAUACAGGACACCACACAGGAAGGUAUGGCCACUGACAUGUUUGCCAAGGUACUUACCACCUAACAAAAUGCCGAUAGGCACAGUAUCUGUAUCGGCUGGGAAUGACAAUGAAACGUGAAAGGUCACUUAGUUAAAUUAGCAGAACACUGCAUCUAUAGUAUUAUGUAAAGGGUUGUUUGUUCUACAUGAACCUGCUACUACAUUUGAAAGCUAUUAAAACACUUUGUUUAUAAUACGUACAUACAUUCAGGAGGCUACUGACCUAUUCAAAGCAUCUCACCAUACAUCUGCCUGCAGUUAUUGAACUCAACCUGCAGGAGGUUUCCCACUGGGCACAGACUCCAGUUCAACGUCUAUUUUUUAUUUACAUUUGGUUGAGUUGUCAACUAAUGUGAAUUCAACAUUAAAUCAACAAAACAUUUCACCAUGUCAUUGGAUUUAGGUAAUGGAAAUACAAAAUGCUCUUAUGUUGAUGACUUAAAAAAAAAAAAUCUCAUCAGUUUUCCACAUAGAAUUUUUUUGUUGAAAUGACAUGGAAACAAUGUUGAUUCAACCAGUUUUUGCCCAGUGGGUUGUUUGUUGUGAUUGGAUGGGGGAAAACAGCUGCAGGCAAGGUUCUGACAGGUGUGUGUGUGUUGGUGGUGGCAAGGACACACCUAAGAAACACCCACAUCAAACCACACUCCCAAUCCAACUCAUGAUUGGCUUCUGUCAUGCCCGCCAGCAUUUCUUGAGGAGGAAGACAAAAAAAGAGGCAAAUUGGCGGGUGAAGUUCCCCUUUAAAUCCAUAAAUAAUUGUUAUUUUACUGACAAUGUUUUGUUUGUUUUCUAAAUAUUCUUGCCGCCUUUCUUUUUUAAAUGAUUGACCGCUGGAAUAUUCCCCAUGUAUCUAAUCAUAUACCCUUGAAGUAGGAAGUUUACAUACACAUUAGCCAAAUACAUUUAAACUCAGUUUUCCACAAUUCCUAACAUUUAAU
Long non-coding RNA from Oncorhynchus tshawytscha (Chinook salmon), 2537 nucleotides. RefSeq lists it as uncharacterized. The record is from RefSeq and is a predicted model, not a curated record. The transcript has 3 exons. Lineage: Eukaryota; Metazoa; Chordata; Actinopteri; Salmoniformes; Salmonidae.